This 889-nucleotide ribosomal RNA is filed under the name uncultured archaeon. RNAcentral describes it as "bacterial SSU rRNA". It matches the Rfam family "Archaeal small subunit ribosomal RNA", at positions 5 to 874 of the family's 1478-position model. The record is from RNAcentral.
CGGUUGAUCCUGCCGGACCUGACUGCUAUCGGAUUGAUACUAAGACAUGCGAGUCAUUGUAGCAAUACAAGGCAGACGGCUCAGUAACGCGUAGUCAAUCUACCCUACCGGACGGGAAUAACCUCGGGAAACUGAGAAUAAUGCCCGAUAGAACAUUAUGCCUGGAAUGGUUUAUGUUUCAAAUGAUUUAUCGCCAUAGGAUGGGACUGCGGCCUAUCAGUUUGUUGGUUGAGGUAAUGGCCCACCAAGGACUAUUUACAGGUACGGGACUCUGAGAGGAGUAGCCCGGAGAUGGGUACUGAGACACGGACCCCAGGCCCCUAUGGGGCGCAGCAGGCGAGAAAACUUUGGCAAUGUGCGAAAGCACCGACAAGGUUAAUCCGAGUGGUUUCUGCUAAAGAAAACCUUUUUGUCAGUCCUAGAAACACUAACGAAUAAGGGGUGGGCAAGUUCUGGUGCCAGCCGCCGCGGUAAAACCAGCACCUCAAGUGGUCAGGAUGAUUAUUGGGCCUAAAGUAUCCGUUAGCUCGUUUUUGGUAAGUUUUUGGUUUAAAUCCAUACGCUUAACGUAUGGUGCUGCCGGGAAUACUUGCAUAACUAGGAAAGUGGGAGAGGUAGACCGGUACUCGGUAGGAAGGGGUAAAAUCCUUUGAUCUAUUGAUGACCACCUGUGGCGAAGGCGGUCUACCAGAACACGUUCGACGGUGAGGGAUCGAAAGCUGGGGGAGCUAAACCGGAUCUAGAUACCCGGGUAGUCUCCAGCUCGUAAACUAUGCAAACUCAGUGAUGCAUUGGCUUGUGGCCAAUGCAGUGCUGCAGGGGGGCCGUUAAGUUUGCCGCCUGGGAAGUACGUACGCAAGUAUCGAAACUUAAAGGAAUCUGGCGGGGG